ACUCAAAUGAAUUGACGGGGGCCCGCACAAGCAGUGGAUUAUGUGGUUUAAUUCGAAGCAACGCGAAGAACCUUACCAGGGCUUGACAUCCUACUAAGGGAUCAGAGAUGAGCCCGUGCCCUUCGGGGAGAGUAGAGACAGGUGGUGCAUGGUUGUCGUCAGCUCGUGUCGUGAGAUGUUGGGUUAAGUCCCGCAACGAGCGCAACCCCUAUUGUUAGUUGCUACGCGAGAGCACUCUAGCGAGACUGCCGUUGACAAAACGGAGGAAGGCGGGGACGACGUCAAAUCAUCAUGCCCCUUAUGUCCUGGGCUACACACGUAAUACAAUGGCGCCGAACAGAGGGAAGCGAGGCCGCGAGGCGGAGCGAAUCCCGAAAAGGCGUCCCAGUUCGGAUCGCAGGCUGCAACCCGCCUGCGUGAAGUCGGAAUUGCUAGUAAUCGCGGAUCAUCAUGCCGCGGUGAAUACGUUCCCGGGCCUUGUACACACCGCCCGU
Molecule: ribosomal RNA, 494 nt
Filed under: uncultured bacterium
Lineage: Bacteria
Description: bacterial SSU rRNA
Rfam family: Bacterial small subunit ribosomal RNA
Source: RNAcentral